UGUUUGCUUGGGGGUUUCUGUGAGACUCACCUGGUCGUGGCGUUUGUGGGCUUUGGUCAGCCGUGGUUUGGAGGUUGCGGCUGAGCGAGCGUGUCUGCAGGAAGCUGGUGUGGCAACUCCCCGUUCUGCGCCAUCAACGUGUAGACAAUCAGAGCAGAAGAAAUCCCAUUUUAAGGCGGAUCCACAACACACACACGCAUGCUCCUAUUGUUCCCAACUAUCAUUCUGUCCACAUUAGAUUUCAAUGAUGCACACACAAGCAAAUACACUAAUGCACUCUGCUUGUUAUUGUUUUUUUCUCUUUGUAUAUCAAUAUAAAGAAUAUAUCUCUA
This is a long non-coding RNA of Pungitius pungitius (ninespine stickleback), 332 nucleotides long. RefSeq lists it as uncharacterized. The record is from RefSeq and is a predicted model, not a curated record. Lineage: Eukaryota; Metazoa; Chordata; Actinopteri; Perciformes; Gasterosteidae. The transcript has 3 exons.